GCAGAACUCCAGAGGAGCAGGAGUGUGGGUGGCUUGCACCAGAAGGGGGACCCACCGAUCUGCAUCAGGAAACUACUACGCAAGGAGCUAGACUCCGAGGACCAAAGUAAAGACCCAAGAAAUGACACAGAUGAUGGCACCUGUCAGGCGAGCCUAGAGGAUGACAAGAAGAAAGGGAGCCAUGAUGAGGUGGGAAAACCGGACAAGUGUGAGAAAAUGGACCCAGAGAAGAGUGACUCGGAGGCCAGCGCCGCAGGGCCACAGGACGACGCCUCCAAAGAAAGAUGUCUCUCUGUGGCUGAGGAGGAGCAUCCAGAGUCCAUGACGCUGGAUAACCUUCUAGAAAAACAGGCAAGAACUUCUCACUUUAGCCACGGGAGUUCGGAUAUAAACCAUCUGUGUUUGUGGAGAUCGACCUGGGCGACCAUACUGAGGAGGAGGUCAUCACCUGUGCCAUUAAAGAAGAGAAGAGGCCCCCCCAUGACACAGGGUACUUGUCUGAAGAUGAGAUAAGGACCAGCUGGGUGUGUUGCCUUCCUUACCACAC
This 547-nucleotide long non-coding RNA is filed under the name Rattus norvegicus (Norway rat). Its description in RNAcentral is "long non-coding RNA NONRATT012129". Lineage: Eukaryota; Metazoa; Chordata; Mammalia; Rodentia; Muridae. The record is from RNAcentral.